GAAGACUGAACCGUUUCCAGUAAGAGGUUUGUUUCGAAACAUUUCCGGGUUUUUUUUUUUUUUUUAAGUCUCUUUUCUCCUUUUCUGUUUUUCUCUCGGAAAUGCCCACUUCCGACUCAGUGGGAGGAAACAAGAGAACCUGGACGAAACCCACACGAACACAGGGAGAACAUACGAAACAGCACACAGACAGUAACCCAAGAUGAGGAUCAAACCCAGAAUCCUGGAACUGUGAGGUGCUGUGAGGUAAAUAAUUUUGGAAACUGCCGGCUCCCCCACUAAAGUCCUCUGUGACAGGCUCAAGACACCCCAAGACCCUGUGUAGAGUAAGCGGUACAGAAAAUGGAUGGAUAAUUUUGAAAACUAUAUUGAUUUUGCCCCACAUCACUAUUAUGGGCUUUAUUUUUUGUGGAUUUGUGACGUUGUUAAGUUUAUAAAGAUUACUACACUACAAAAUGCGGAAUGUUCAAGUGAGUGAACACUUUGCAAAAUUUAUAUGUUAUUGGUCACUAAACUGUUUGGGUUUUUUUUGGUCCAGCCCAUCUGUCAUUGGAUUAAGUGUAAUGUGGCUCAUUACCUAAAGUGGGUUUAACAUCCCUGAUUUAGAGUGCUCAAUGUAACUUGGCCAGGAUAGACCGUUGAGGGCGCUGUUUGAGAGGGUGCUUGGACCCCGUCACAUACAGUUAUAUUAUACUGAUGUUUAAAACCUUAUUUGUCUAAUAACUUGAUUGUUAAAAAUGCCUGUUGCUUUUUUUUUGUUUGUUUGUUUGUUUUUUAAAGUUUAUUUCCUCAUUUAAAACUCAAUAAAAAGGAAGUACAUGUAAUUUCAACUAACUCAUUGUAAUCAACCUGAGAAGGAUGCUUUUAACAACACAGACUGUUUCAAAUCUAUAUUCUAACACAGUGUCAUGAUUGUACAUGAUUUGGGUUCUGAAAAUGUGAACAUUUCAAGAAUUAAAAAAAUGUAGAAUGGCUUAAAUGUAUCUAUUUACCUCAAAAGGUGUGUGGGCUCACUGAUCUUUAAUGUUUGGGACUGAUUUAUUGGAUGAUGAGAAAUUGGAUGAAUCAUCUGCUGCCUACAUCUGGUGAACAGAGCUUUCAGUCAGGUCGUCUGUAAAAACUGUGGGAAAGUCCAAGAAAUACAAUCCAUAAGCCUCUACAACUGACAAAAAAAAAGGUUUAAUGGAUCACUAAAAUAUUUUAAAGAACCAGAAUUGAAAUUGACUUUAACAGUAUAAUGUAAAUCUUACAAAGCUGUGCUGUUUUUAGACAUGUAUUUAUCAAAUUUUUAUAAAAGGUUUUGUGAGUAAUAUUUUGUGUGUCUGUGUGUGUGUGUGUGUAUGUGUGUUUUGGUGGGGGUGUAAGGUUGAAGAGGUCUAUUUGAGGGCAUUCCUCAUAUCACUGCUCAUUUCCUGAUAGCACCGUGAUGACUUUGGCCUGCGUGUUGUGAUAGGUCAGCAGAACCGAACGCAACCUUCAUGAGAUUGUUUUUCAUGUCCCAUACAAACUUAAACAAAACCAGUGGUUAACCUGAUCAAUCUCUCACUGAUGGGCUGUGACAGGAUCCCACGUCAGGUUACACAGUUGGUAAACAUUAGAUUUUAUCAAGAUGUGUAACUAAAUACCUAAGUAAGGACACAAUUUUAUUUUUACGACUUGUAAAUAUGUUGGAUAGACAACAUGGGGCAAAAAAAAACCCCUACGAAAUCCUAAUCCUUUAGAAAUCCUUUACAAUGUUGUGCACAUAAAUUGAUAAUCAGUAAUAUGAAUAAUGGUUUUCACACACAGGAAAAUUUGCGGAAAGAUAUUUUGGUCAACCAUAAACCAUGCAGUAGGGUUAAUUGACCAUUUGGGAUCCUUUACCACACUAAUGAAGUGGGGAGAAGUAGGCUUAUUUAUGUUAAAGUUGGCUCUGCUACAUUCUUUGGCCCCUUCAUCAGCGCUUGUGAAGCUGUGAUUAUUUCAGGGUCCUCUUAGGUAAAGUCGCUUUACGGAGGGGUUAACACAUCUGGAAUCAAUAGCAAUGGGCUGAGUAACUAGAGGUUUUUGGGGGGGAGAAGGGUCUACAGGUUAGGCUAGUUACAGCUUUGGCCCUGAGGGUCUGUAUGUCCCUGACUUCAAAAUAGACUUGAUUGCUCCCAGCUGGCAGCUCUAACUCACCCGGUGUCAGAGCUCUCCUCUGAUGUCAACCUUGUCAGUAUCAAGGCUAGACAGGACAAUGUAGAGCCAGAAACAAAGCAUAUGGGCAGAGAUACGUUUUCUGGCUGCAUUAUAUUAUUUGUGGGAAAACUGCAGAGUUGGACGCUGUAUCAGUCCCCUUCCUUUGGUGAAAAUGAUAGCAUAACUCUCAGAGUCUAGAUUUGCAAACAGCUAGUCUGAAUGACAAUCUAUGUAUACAAACACUGUCAUUACAUAUUACAGAAGACAAUGAAACAAAGCUGAUAACAGUUCAUACAGGAUUUCGUGGAGUUUUUUGUUUUUAUUGUUACGGCCAAAAAUGUUUGAAUUUGCUUUGGCUUUUUACAAAAACUUUUUUUGAAAGUUUUUGUGUUUUUUUUUUUUUGCAAAAAAAAAAAACUACUUGAAUGAUCAAAAUUGCAAUUGCACAAAAUAGUUUUGCACGGACUUUCGCAGUGAUGUUUGUUGGUAAAUGAGACUUUUAGCUGUACUCAUGUUCAACAUGCGAUAAGCAUAGAUACAUUAAAUGUCUCUCUUUCAAUAAAAUUGAUCACAGUUAUUUAUACACCAAGAUGUUUCUUACCACAUAAUACAUAAAAAAAUUCUUCAGAUUGGACUUAUAGUACUUGUUGAGGAGGUAAUUCAGUAACACUUUCUAUGAAGUCCAUACGUAUAAUGACCUAUGAAUACAUUUAUAACUUGCUAUAAUGCAUCCAUAAGGUAUUAUAUACUGUACAUCUUUAACAUUAUUUAUGAAAUGGCUUUACAGUUGAUAGUACUGUUAUUUUUAAAUUGCUAUCAGAAUGCAAUAUAAGCAGUGUUUAUAACAUGUUAUAUCACCAAUACCAAAUCAAUUCUGCCCCAGUUUAUUAAUGCAUUAUGCUUAGUCACAGACACAUGGACAAGUUCAUGGUUAUUGACAAGACGUUUGUAGUAUGAUUUUCUUUGAUAAUCUCUGAAGAAAUCAGGUCUCAUAAUGCACUGUACAAAGCUGCUUGGUUUCUCUGGAAGUGGUUUUAUAAUGUGUUAUGAACUGUACUUAUAUCAUGUUAACAUUUCAUCAUACAUAUUAUAGAUGGCUAUAAAGACUAAUGCCUUUUAUUAUCCACCUAACAAUGUGUAUAAUGCUUUAUGAAUGCUUUAUGGCAUGAUAUGAAUGUGUUUAUAUUUCAAUAUAAGUAUGACCUGUUACUGGUCAUUCUUUAGGAAUACAUUUUUAAGCACAUUUCCAUGGUUAUUAGAAAGAAAGAAAAAGCAUAUCUCAUGUGCUAAGAUCUAUUGAACUCUUGGUAAAAGACACUAAUUCAUUUGCUUAAUUAUUCAAAAAAGGCAUAUUGAAUUUAUUCUGCAAGUAGACUAUUAGAGAAUAUGUACAGCUUUAGUUAUAUAUAAAGAGUAAAUGAAAGGCUGCUAAGCCCAGGCUCUCUGUCAUCUCUCAUAAAAAGAAGUUAUAGUGAAAAGAAUUCACAGUGUAAUAGAGUAAUUACAGUGCAUUUUUGUUAGAGACAAAAUAACCUGAUUCAUUUAUGACUCCUGUUGUCUUUCUUUCCCUUUUCUGCUCUUGUAGUAUGCUUUUAAAUGCUGAUGAAAUUCCUUCCUUCAGCUUCAGUCAAUUUUGAUUUCAGCUGAAAAAUGCUGAGAGAUGCAAAAGGUCAAGUUCACGCUGUACAGGUCGGAUAUCCAUCAUAAUGCACUAGCACAAUUGUUACCAUGGCGAACCAGAUUACGGUGUAGCAGUAUUAUUAAAUAAAUUUAUAUUUAGAUUAAUGUAAUAGUAUUGUUUCAAGUUUUGGAAAUACAAAAGAAGGAAACCAGUUUAUGUCCUAAACCCAUGUAGAUUAAAAAAUCAUUUCAUCCUCCACUAUUAUUUUUGUGUUCAUUUUAUUAGAUAUAGGCAGCAAUAUGUGAAAAUAUAUGCAAAGAAUUAAAUAUCCCGAUUUUUCUGUCUCCUUGCUACCAACUUUUCAUUUUAAAAAAAGAUUUCUGUAUGACACAAAGUCAAUCUCAGUGGCCCUUCCUAAACCAUGAUGCUCAUUAAAACCUGUACAGAUUUACUCUCAGCUACUGUAAAAUAUUUUCAUUUUGAAAAUGUUGCUAAUAACAUGCCAGCAUCGUUAUCUAUUUAAAAUACACGCCAAUGAUUCGUUUAGUAUUAUGCAAUAUCUAAGUAAAAGCUAUGCCUCUCAAACUGAGACAAUUUUAACUAUAAAAUAAAUUCCAAGUACAAAUUUAUUAUCAUGAUCACUUAUUUAAAUGUGUACAAUGAUAUUUUUUAUAUUUAGGUUGCUAUUCCUGAUCUUUCCUCCAAAGAGGAACUAGUUCCAAGUUAUUUAUAGGCUGACUGACAUCUGGAUUCAAUCCAUUCAAGUUAAGUGAGCAGACAAACAGGCUACUAGCUAUAAAAACUCAAUAAAAAAAUACCUAACUUUGAUAAUGGUAGAUUGUAAUUUCCAGCGCUGUAAGUAACUACUGUAGGUUUUAAAAAAUCGCACACCCACUGGGUGUCCCAAGACCCCACUUUGAGAACCACAGGUCUAAAUCCUUCACUGCUACAGGAUAUGAUUUAUUUAUUUAUUUUUUUAACUCACCUAGCUCUAGG
Long non-coding RNA from Ictalurus punctatus (channel catfish), 4777 nucleotides. RefSeq lists it as uncharacterized. NCBI's taxonomy places the organism in Eukaryota, Metazoa, Chordata, Actinopteri, Siluriformes, Ictaluridae. The transcript is spliced from 3 exons. The record is from RefSeq and is a predicted model, not a curated record.